CGCAAUCCGUUGGGGUGCCGCAAGGCUGAGAGGUGAAAACCGACCCAUCGAACCUGAUCCGGGUCGUACCGGCGUAGGGAACGGAACCAAGCAUCGG
Molecule: non-coding RNA, 97 nt
Filed under: Sulfitobacter indolifex
Lineage: Bacteria; Pseudomonadati; Pseudomonadota; Alphaproteobacteria; Rhodobacterales; Roseobacteraceae
Also listed under: 1 other name
Description: Oceanibulbus indolifex TPP sequence
Rfam family: TPP riboswitch aptamer (THI element)
About the family: Vitamin B(1) in its active form thiamin pyrophosphate (TPP) is an essential coenzyme that is synthesised by coupling of pyrimidine and thiazole moieties in bacteria.
Source: RNAcentral